Molecule: ribosomal RNA, 305 nt
Filed under: uncultured bacterium
Lineage: Bacteria
Description: bacterial SSU rRNA
Rfam family: Bacterial small subunit ribosomal RNA
Source: RNAcentral
AUUACCUACGGGGCGCAGCAGUGAGGAAUAUUGGUCAAUGGCCGGAAGGCUGAACCAGCCAAGCCGCGUGAAGGACGAAGGUGCCAAGCAUUGUAAACUUCUUUUGUCAAGGGACAAAAUCAGGCUCGAGAGCCUGACCGAGGGUACUUGAAGAAAAAGCAUCGGCUAACUCCGUGCCAGCAGCCGCGGUAAUACGGAGGAUGCGAGCGUUAUCCGGAUUUAUUGGGUUUAAAGGGUGCGUAGGCGGGCUGUUAAGUCUGAUGUGAAAGCCUUCGGCUUAACCGGAGUAGUGCAUUGGAAACUGG